This 254-nucleotide ribosomal RNA is filed under the name uncultured bacterium. Its description in RNAcentral is "partial 16S ribosomal RNA". It matches the Rfam family "Bacterial small subunit ribosomal RNA", at positions 524 to 776 of the family's 1533-position model. The record is from RNAcentral.
UACGGGGGGAGCAAGCGUUGUUCGGAUUUACUGGGCGUAAAGGGCGCGUAGGCGGCCACUGCAAGUCAGUUGUGAAAUCUCCGGGCUUAACUCGGAAAGGUCAACUGAUACUGUGCGACUAGAGUGCGGAAGGGGCAACUGGAAUUCUCGGUGUAGCGGUGAAAUGCGUAGAUAUCGAGAGGAACACCUGCGGCGAAGGCGGGUUGCUGGGCCGACACUGACGCUGAUGCGCGAAAGCCAGGGGAGCGAACGGG